RNAcentral lists this ribosomal RNA (500 nucleotides) under uncultured bacterium. RNAcentral describes it as "bacterial SSU rRNA". It matches the Rfam family "Bacterial small subunit ribosomal RNA", at positions 25 to 518 of the family's 1533-position model. The record is from RNAcentral.
CAGGAUGAACGCUAGCUACAGGCUUAACACAUGCAAGUCGAGGGGCAGCAUUGGAGUAGCAAUACUCAGAUGGCGACCGGCGCACGGGUGAGUAACACGUAUCCAACCUGCCGCUUACUCGGGGAUAGCCUUUCGAAAGAAAGAUUAAUACCCGAUGGUAUAAAGAGUUCGCAUGUUCUCUUUAUUAAAGAAUUUCGGUAAGCGAUGGGGAUGCGUUCCAUUAGAUAGUUGGCGGGGUAACGGCCCACCAAGUCUACGAUGGAUAGGGGUUCUGAGAGGAAGGUCCCCCACAUUGGAACUGAGACACGGUCCAAACUCCUACGGGAGGCAGCAGUGAGGAAUAUUGGUCAAUGGACGAGAGUCUGAACCAGCCAAGUAGCGUGAAGGAUGACUGCCCUAUGGGUUGUAAACUUCUUUUAUAAGGGAAUAAAGUGAGGGACGUGUCCCUUUUUGUAUGUACCUUAUGAAUAAGGAUCGGCUAACUCCGUGCCAGCAGCCGC